CCGUGUGCAGGACGAAGGCCUUGGGUUAAUAAACUGCUUUUGUACAGAACGAAAAGUCUGGGUUAAUACCCUGGGGUCAUGACGGUACUGUAAGAAUAAGCACCGGCUAACUACGUGCCAGCAGCCGCGGUAAUACGUAGGGUGCGAGCGUUAAUCGGAAUUACUGGGCGUAAAGCGUGCGCAGGCGGUUAUGUAAGACAGAGGUGAAAUCCCCGGGCUCAACCUGGUGAACUGCCUUUGUGACUGCAUAGCUAGAGUACGGCAGAGGGGGAUGCGAAUUCCGCGUGUAGCAGUGAAAUGCGUCAGAUAUGCGGCGGAACACCGAUGGCGAAGGCAAUCCCCUGGGCCUGUACUUGACGCUCAUGCACGAAAGCGUGGGGAGCAAACAGGAUUCGAUACCCUGGUAGUCCACGCCCUAAACGAC
This 424-nucleotide ribosomal RNA is filed under the name uncultured bacterium. Its description in RNAcentral is "bacterial SSU rRNA". It matches the Rfam family "Bacterial small subunit ribosomal RNA", at positions 397 to 810 of the family's 1533-position model. The record is from RNAcentral.